GAUGAACGCUGGCGGCGUGCUUAACACAUGCAAGUCGAACGCGAAGUGCAGACGGAAACCUUCGGGCGGAAGGCUUUAUUUCGAGUGGCGGCCGGGUGAUUAACGCGUGGGUAACCUGCCUCAUACAGGGGGAUAACAGUUGGAAACGACUGUUAAUACCGCAUAAGACCACGGCACCGCAUGGUGCGGGGGUAAAAACUCCGGUGGUAUGAGAUGGAAUCGCGUUCGAUUAGCCAGUUGGCGGGGUAACGGCCCACCAAAGCGACGAUCGAUAGCCGAUCUGAGAGGAUGACCGGCCACAUUGGGACUGAGACACGGCCCAAACUCCUACGGGAGGCAGCAGUGGGGAAUAUUGCACGAUGGGGGAAACCCUGAUGCAGCGACGCCGCGUGAGUGAAGAAGUAUUUCGGUAUGUAAAGCUCUAUCAGCAGGGAAGAAAAUGACGGUACCUGAGUAAGAAGCCCCGGCUAACUACGUG
This 478-nucleotide ribosomal RNA is filed under the name uncultured bacterium. RNAcentral's name for it is "partial 16S ribosomal RNA". It matches the Rfam family "Bacterial small subunit ribosomal RNA", at positions 28 to 507 of the family's 1533-position model. The record is from RNAcentral.